GUCAUCUGAAACAGACUUUUAGACACUGGAUCAAACAAAAUGCCAAAACAAUGACAACGCAGCACCAAAAAAAAAAAAAAAUGCAAAAACUCAGUAGUAGAAAAUCUACUAGGUUAUUUUUCUAAUGCCCCUUUUCCACCGGUGUUCUGUUGAUCUGUGCUACCCGUAAAUCCGUCCUACCUGGUGGUAAUGCGCAUAUCGAUGCUACGUCACAUACUGCUUACUCAGCAGAUUUCUUAUAAAUACCUCCAACCUGCGGAGAU
Molecule: long non-coding RNA, 263 nt
Organism: Xiphophorus couchianus (Monterrey platyfish)
Lineage: Eukaryota; Metazoa; Chordata; Actinopteri; Cyprinodontiformes; Poeciliidae
Exons: 3
Source: RefSeq, a predicted model, not a curated record